RNAcentral lists this ribosomal RNA (368 nucleotides) under Sporothrix schenckii. RNAcentral describes it as "eukaryotic LSU rRNA". It matches the Rfam family "Eukaryotic large subunit ribosomal RNA", at positions 48 to 419 of the family's 3401-position model. The record is from RNAcentral. Lineage: Eukaryota; Fungi; Ascomycota; Sordariomycetes; Ophiostomatales; Ophiostomataceae.
AAGCGGAGGAAAAGAAACCAACAGGGAUUGCCCCAGUAACGGCGAGUGAAGCGGCAACAGCUCAAAUUUGAAAUCUGGCCCCCCGGCCCGAGUUGUAAUUUGGAGAGGAUGCUUUUGGCGCGGCGCCGUCCGAGUUCCUUGGAACAGGACGCCACAGAGGGUGAGAGCCCCGUACGGACGGACGCCUAGCCUCUACAAAGCUCCUUCGACGAGUCGAGUAGUUUGGGAAUGCUGCUCAAAAUGGGAGGUAAAUUUCUUCUAAAGCUAAAUACCGGCCAGAGACCGAUAGCGCACAAGUAGAGUGAUCGAAAGAUGAAAAGCACUUUGAAAAGAGGGUUAAAAAGUACGUGAAAUUGUUGAAAGGGGAA